This 497-nucleotide ribosomal RNA is filed under the name uncultured bacterium. RNAcentral's name for it is "partial 16S ribosomal RNA". It matches the Rfam family "Bacterial small subunit ribosomal RNA", at positions 28 to 507 of the family's 1533-position model. The record is from RNAcentral.
GAUGAACGCUGGCGGCGUGCCUAAUACAUGCAAGUCGAGCGAACAGAUAAGGAGCUUGCUCCUUUGACGUUAGCGGCGGACGGGUGAGUCACACGUGGGUAACCUACCUAUAAGACUGGGAUAACUUCGGGAAACCGGAUCUAAUACCGGAUCACAUUUGGAACCGCAUGGUUCUAAAGUGAAAGAUGGUUGUUCUAUCACUUAUAGAUGGACCCGCGCCGUAUUAGCUAGUUGGUAAGGUAACUGCUUACCAAGGCUACGAUACGUAGACGACCUGAGAGCGUGAUUCCCUAGCCUGGAUGUGAGAAAGAGUCGACACUCCUAGGCUGGGCCGCAGCCGGGACUCCUACGCAAAGGAGGAGUGGGGAAUGGUGCACAGCCGGGUAAAGCAUGAUCGAGCUAGGCUGCGAGAGCGCUGAUAUUAGGAGAGAAGUAAAGCGCAUGUACCCGUGAACGUAAUGACGGUACCGAAAGAGAAAGCCCCGGCUAACUCCGUG